GGUAAUUAUAUUUCAAUGGUAGAAUAUUUGUUUGUGGUACAAAAAGUUCUUGGUUCGAAUCCAAGUAAUUACCC
RNAcentral lists this transfer RNA (74 nucleotides) under Schizosaccharomyces japonicus. RNAcentral describes it as "tRNA-His". It matches the Rfam family "tRNA". Rfam says of the family: Transfer RNA (tRNA) molecules are approximately 80 nucleotides in length. Lineage: Eukaryota; Fungi; Ascomycota; Schizosaccharomycetes; Schizosaccharomycetales; Schizosaccharomycetaceae. The record is from RNAcentral.